AGUGAACGCUGGCGGCAGGCCUAACACAUGCAAGUCGAGCGGCAGCGCGGGGGCAACCCUGGCGGCGAGCGGCGGACGGGUGAGGAAUUCGUCGGAAUCUGCCUUUUUGUGGGGGAUAACGUAGGGAAACUUACGCUAAUACCGCAUACGUCCUACGGGAGAAAGUGGGGGACCGCAAGGCCUCACGCAGAAAGAUGAGCCGACGACCGAUUAGCUAGUUGGUGGGGUAAAGGCGCACCAAGGCGACGAUCGGUAGCUGGUCUGAGAGGAUGAUCAGCCACACUGGGACUGAGACACGGCCCAGACUCCUACGGGAGGCAGCAGUGGGGAAUAUUGGACAAUGGGCGCAAGCCUGAUCCAGCCAUGCCGCGUGUGUGAAGAAGGCCUUCGGGUUGUAAAGCACUUUUGUCCGGAAAGAAAUCCCUGGAGCUAAUACCUUCGGGGGAUGACGGUACCGGAAGAAUAAGCACCGGCUAACUUCGUG
This 484-nucleotide ribosomal RNA is filed under the name uncultured bacterium. RNAcentral describes it as "partial 16S ribosomal RNA". It matches the Rfam family "Bacterial small subunit ribosomal RNA", at positions 29 to 507 of the family's 1533-position model. The record is from RNAcentral.